CCUACGGGAGGCAGCAGUGGGGGAUAUUGCACAAUGGGGGAAACCCUGAUGCAGCGACGCCGCGUGUGGGAAAACGGUCUUCUGGAUUGUAAACCACUGUCCCCAGGGACGAAAAUGACGGUACCUGGGGAGGAAGCUCCGGCUAACUACGUGCAAGCAGCCGCGGUAAUACGUAGGGAGCAAGCGUUGUCCGGAAUUACUGGGUGUAAAGGGAGCGUAGGCGGGGAUGCAAGUUGGGUGUCAAAACUACCGGCUCAACCGAUAGUCGCACUCAAAACUGCAGCUCUUGAGUGAAGUAGAGGCAGGCGGAAUUCCUAGUGUAGCGGUGAAAUGCGUAGAUAUUAGGAGGAACACUAGUGGCGAAGGCGGCCUGCUGGGCUUUUACUGACGCUGAGGCUCGAAAGUGUGGGGAGCAAACAGGAUUAGAUACCCUUGUAGUC
RNAcentral lists this ribosomal RNA (440 nucleotides) under uncultured bacterium. RNAcentral describes it as "partial 16S ribosomal RNA". It matches the Rfam family "Bacterial small subunit ribosomal RNA", at positions 338 to 795 of the family's 1533-position model. The record is from RNAcentral.